RNAcentral lists this long non-coding RNA (657 nucleotides) under Parus major (Great Tit). RNAcentral describes it as "lncRNA (ENSPMJG00000009444.1)". Lineage: Eukaryota; Metazoa; Chordata; Aves; Passeriformes; Paridae. The record is from RNAcentral.
CCCGCGUCCACCUGGCGGGGCCGCAGUAGCCGGGCCCGUGGAGGGAGCGGUGACCAUGUGGCCGCUGCUAUCCCGACCCAAGAUGGCCCGGGCAGCCCAGGCGUGGAGAGCCCACCGCCCUCCUCAGGGUGCGAACCUGGGACCGGGGACCGCCUCGGAUACAGUUCCCGAGUCAGAUACCGGGACCGGAAAGCCCGAUACAAUCAUCUCAUUAAUUUUGAGUAGCAACUAUUUAACCUCAAAUGAAGCCGCCUGCCUGCAGUGGAACAGAUGUAUGGUGUAAAAGAAUCUCAAUUGCCCAAUCAAGAUGAACAGAAUGGCUUUCUUCAACAAGAAAAUAGAACAUUCAUUUUUUAGGAUUAUAUCUACAACAUGAAGCAUUUAGCAGUAGCUGUCUUUGAGAACAUUCAUCUAUGACCUGAAAUGUCCUGAUCCUGAGAAAAAAAAGAGAUUCCAUUAAUUAAGUCUAUAAUUUUUAAAUGCAUAUUCAUGACUAAUUAUAUUUGCUUAUGUACAAUGCGGAUACAGAAUUCAUAAACCAGAGAUUAUUUUAACACAUGCACACAUUUUGUUUUACAUUUAGUGUACAAGAUACAAAAUUUUAAUCAAAUUUUAAAUAAUCUUUUAAAUUAUCUGUAUUUAUUAAUAAAUGAAGUC